RNAcentral lists this ribosomal RNA (497 nucleotides) under uncultured bacterium. RNAcentral's name for it is "partial 16S ribosomal RNA". It matches the Rfam family "Bacterial small subunit ribosomal RNA", at positions 28 to 507 of the family's 1533-position model. The record is from RNAcentral.
GAUGAACGCUGGCGGCGUGCCUAAUACAUGCAAGUCGAGCGAACGGACGAGAAGCUUGCUUUUCUGAUGUUAGCGGCGGACGGGUGAGUAACACGUGGAUAACCUACCUAUAAGACUGGGAUAACUUCGGGAAACCGGAGCUAAUACCGGAUAAUAUUUUGAACCGCAUGGUUCAAAAGUGAAAGACGGUCUUGCUGUCACUUAUAGAUGGAUCCGCGCUGCAUUAGCUAGUUGGUAAGGUAACGGCUUACCAAGGCAACGAUGCAUAGCCGACCUGAGAGGGUGAUCGGCCACACUGGAGCUGAGACACGGUCCAGACUCCUACGGGAGGCAGCAGUAGGGAAUCUUCCGCAAUGGGCGAAAGCCUGACGGAGCAACGCCGCGUGAGUGAUGAAGGUCUUCGGAUCGUAAAACUCUGUUAUUAGGGAGGAACAUAUGUGUAAGUAACUGUGCACAUCUUGACGGUACCUAAUCAGAAAGCCACGGCUAACUACGUG